CCCCAGGUCCGGGGGGCUCGUGCGCGCGAACCGCGUCAGGACCGUGAAGGUAGCAGCGCUAAGCGAUGUCACGUGUCGCCUCGGGGUGCCUGGGGCAC
This 98-nucleotide signal recognition particle RNA is filed under the name Gemmatimonadota bacterium. Its description in RNAcentral is "Gemmatimonadetes bacterium signal recognition particle sRNA small type". It matches the Rfam family "Bacterial small signal recognition particle RNA". Rfam says of the family: The signal recognition particle (SRP) is a universally conserved ribonucleoprotein involved in the co-translational targeting of proteins to membranes. Archaeal SRP consists of a 7S RNA and homologues of the eukaryotic SRP19 and SRP54 proteins. In most bacteria, the SRP consists of a 4.5S RNA and the Ffh protein (a homologue of the eukaryotic SRP54 protein). The record is from RNAcentral. RNAcentral also lists the same sequence under 1 other name. Lineage: Bacteria; Pseudomonadati; Gemmatimonadota.